RNAcentral lists this ribosomal RNA (571 nucleotides) under uncultured bacterium. RNAcentral describes it as "bacterial SSU rRNA". It matches the Rfam family "Bacterial small subunit ribosomal RNA", at positions 28 to 576 of the family's 1533-position model. The record is from RNAcentral.
GACGAACGCUGGCGGCGUGCCUAAUACACGCAAGUCGAGCGGAGUGAAUAGAAGUGCUUGCUCUUCUAUUCACUCAGCGGCGGACGGGUGAGUAACACAUAGGUAACCUGCCUGUAAGACUGGGAUAACUACCGGAAACGGUAGCUAAUACCGGAUAAUUUGUUUCCUCACCUGAGGAGACACUGAAAGGCGGAGCAAUCUGUCACUUAUAGAUGGGCCUGCGGCGCAUUAGCUAGUUGGUGAGGUAACGGCUCACCAAGGCGACGAUGCGUACCCGACCUGAGAGGGUGAACGGCCACACUGGGACUGAGACACGGCCCACACUCCUACGGGAGGCAGCAGUAGGGAAUCUUCCGCAAUGGACGAAAGUCUGACGGAGCAACGCCGCGUGAGUGAUGAAGGUUUUCGGAUCGUAAAGCUCUGUUGCCAGGAAAGAAGAUUUGGGAGAGUAACUGCUCUCAAAGUGACGGUACCUGAGAAGAAAGCCCCGGCUAACUACGUGCCAGCAGCCGCGGUAAUACGUAGGGGGCAAGCGUUGUCCGGAAUUAUUGGGCGUAAAGUGCGCGCAGGC